Molecule: ribosomal RNA, 228 nt
Filed under: uncultured bacterium
Lineage: Bacteria
Description: partial 16S ribosomal RNA
Rfam family: Bacterial small subunit ribosomal RNA
Source: RNAcentral
CGGGUGAGUAAUGUCUGGGAAACUGCCCGAUGGAGGGGGAUAACUACUGGAAACGGCAGCUAAUACCGCAUAACGUCGCAAGACCAAAGAGGGGGACCUUAGGGCCUCUUGCCAUCGGAUGUGCCCAGAUGGGAUUAGCUAGUAGGUGGGGUAAUGGCUCACCUAGGCGACGAUCCCUAGCUGGUCUGAGAGGAUGACCAGCCACACUGGAACUGAGACACGGUCCAG